GUGCUUGCUUUGGCAGCACAUAUACUAAAAUUGGAACGAUACGGAGAACGAUACAUCCUUGCCCCUGCGCAAGGAUGACAUGGAAAUUCGUGAUCGUUCCAUAUUUUU
Molecule: small nuclear RNA, 108 nt
Organism: Cavia aperea (Brazilian guinea pig)
Lineage: Eukaryota; Metazoa; Chordata; Mammalia; Rodentia; Caviidae
Source: Ensembl